This is a long non-coding RNA of Solanum tuberosum (potato), 1705 nucleotides long. RefSeq lists it as uncharacterized. The record is from RefSeq and is a predicted model, not a curated record. The transcript has 3 exons. Lineage: Eukaryota; Viridiplantae; Streptophyta; Magnoliopsida; Solanales; Solanaceae.
AAUAGAGAGCUUUUUAGAGAGUGGUUGGAGACCCAAUUCUCUAUUUUACUCUCCAAAUAUAGAGAACGGAGAGUAAAAUAGAGUGAGGUUGGAGAUGGUCUGAUUGUCUGUAAUGGUGGUAAAAAACCUCUUUUUCUCCUACACUAUUUGAAUUCCGGAUCUCGGGUGGUUCGAUUUGUAUUUGGUGUUUCUAUUGAUUGAUGUUUGUGUUAUAUAAGCCAACAAGAGUUGGAGCAUAUAUGCUACUAUUAUGAGUCAAGAAUAUGUUGCUUCUCUGCGAUACUCAUUUCAAACUCUGUGACAUCCCUCUUUCAGGCUUGAAAGUGUCGUUUCUCCUCGCCGUGUUUGUAUGUUUUAAUUUGUAUAUUGCAACACCUUCUUGGUGCUUUUGGUUAUGAAUAUAUCUUCUUUGAAAUACUAAAUUCUAUUCUCUUGCUAAUCGUAAUUUAUGCCAUUAUUGUGUUUGCUGAAAUUCCCCACUGAAAAAAGACUUGUGUGUCGUGAGAGAGCUUAGUACCAAGAGUUGGCCGCUUUAAAAAAUGUUGGAAGUCUAAUGAAAUUGAAGUAUGGGCUUCCCUCCGCUUAUUGUUAUCUUUUGCUUUUUAUCUAAAAUGUUUUGUUCCUGUGUGAAGAAGGAGUUACCAGUUAAAUGUUUUUAGAAUUACCUUAAUUUUAUUGAUCUUUUGUAAUGGUAUUUCAUUUACCUGCAUGUGUAAUUCUACAGUAGCAUUACUACUAUUUAUCUAACUUUUUUGUCGAAGUGAAACAAUGUUCUGUUUUAGAGAAAAAAGUGGCACUCAGCACUCUCUGCAUUAAGAAACAUUCGGUGGAAACCAUUUUGAUCCGUGGAGAUAAAAUUUUGACAUUCAAGUCAAGGUACAUGACUACAUAAUGACACUAAUAACUAUAUUAGUACUAUUGUUUUCUGAAAAUAAUCUGAAGAUCUUUGAACUUUUUAUGUUUUCGCACAAGAUUGAAUCAAAUAGCAAGGGAUCAUGAAAUUACUUGAUCUCUCGAACUCUCUAGUGUUUGUGAAUAGUAAGAAGAAUGGAGUAAAUGUUGCUAGCAAUGCUCUUGUGGAAGUUCCCAUGCUGCACCCAGGAAGCUAUGAUCACUAUAACUUGCAUUAGCUAUGUGUCCUAGGCUCGAUGUGUGAAAGUACCUGUCAUGGAAUCUUAAGACACCGAAAUGGCUGAAUUGAGAAUCUCUGAGUACUUUCAAUUGAAAGAGAUUGAGCAUGGAUAAAACGUCUAUUGAAAAUAGAAGGACAAUAAAACGAAAAGUGGAAUAACAAGUACAACCAAAAUGGAAAGGGAAGUGACAUAAAGGAGCACAUGAAACGAGAAAUAACAUGUGGCGUACAAGAGACCUAUGCUAAGUUGUAAGAAAACUAAAUCAGACUUCAUGAUAUCAUUUUGUGGGUUGCUACUGCAGAUAAUGAAGAAUAUAACUAUAUCUCCUUUCAAUUUUUGAUACUCUUUCCAAAUUUGAUCAGAUCAUAUGUCAUGUAUGAACAAAGAUGUUACCAUCUUCCUCUGUUUUCUUUUAAGAAAGUUGCAUCAUAGUUCAGGAGGAAGUAGUUGAUAAUCAAUUGAUGUUAUUGAAGAACAAAUUCGGGGAGAAAACUAUAGUGCUACUUGAUGCUAAGAUGUAUCUACGUAUAGAUUUUUCGAGUCAUUUAUGUAUAUAAAUUUGCGGCUUGUGA